UGCUCAAGCGGUUUAUGAACACCACUGCGUUUUGGGGCAUGCAAUAAUUUGCUUUUAGAGGACACGACGAGAGGGAAAGUUCCGCCAACAAGGGCAACUACAAGCAGCUUGCAGAGCUAAGUCCCCUCCUGUUCCCUGAUUUAAGAGGUGAUGACUACUCCACUCCACUACCAUUGUCAACUUUCUCUUGACAUGAACUGAAGCCACGUCUCAUCCACUGGCAUAUUGAAUGUUUCCUCUCCAAGCACUUCAAAUCCUGAACACCUCAACUCAUGCCUCAUACCCUCAUUCAAUCACUUCUGUGAUCCCUUUCCAACACUGUGUAAGUAGCCCUCUCA
Coregonus clupeaformis (lake whitefish) is the source of this 338-nucleotide long non-coding RNA. RefSeq lists it as uncharacterized. The transcript has 3 exons. The record is from RefSeq and is a predicted model, not a curated record. Lineage: Eukaryota; Metazoa; Chordata; Actinopteri; Salmoniformes; Salmonidae.